Molecule: ribosomal RNA, 957 nt
Filed under: Synarthonia pilosella
Lineage: Eukaryota; Fungi; Ascomycota; Arthoniomycetes; Arthoniales; Arthoniaceae
Description: mitochondrial SSU rRNA
Rfam family: Bacterial small subunit ribosomal RNA (bases 132-957)
Source: RNAcentral
CCUAACGGCUGAACCAGCAACUUGUGUGAAUGAAAAAGCAUUUUGUUUAAUAAGCAAAGUGUAGUUUUUUUGUCAUAGAUACGACAGCUAUCUUUAAUAAAACCAAAAGUUUUAUGGGUAGUAAUUGAGUUAAAGAAUAGGGAUAGAAAGCCGACCCAGAGAGGACCCGAACGGUUAACUUGAUUUUUUGAAAGCUUCGGCUAUUAGCGAUUUACUCGCAUAAAUUUCCAUACAGAAUACGGAUGAUGACUAUUUUCUGUAUGAUAGUCUUGACCAAAACACGUGCCAGCAGUCGCGGUAACACGGUAUUAGACGAGUGUUAUUCAUCUUUAAUAGGUUUAAAGGGUACCUAGACGGCAAAUUUAACCCCCACGGGGUUGGGAUGGUACAUUUUUGCUAGAGUUUUAUGUGAGAGGAAUUUAGUACUAACAGAGUAGAGAUGAAAUUCUUUGAUACUGUAGGGCACUGAUAAUGGCGAAGGCAGACCUUUAUGUAAAAACUGACGUUGAGGGACGAAGGCUUGGGUAACAAACAGGAUUAGAUACCCUAAUAGUCCAAGCAGAGAAUGAUGAGUGCCAUAGAUUAGGUUAUCAUUGAUCUAUAAAUGAAAGUGAAAGCAUUCCACCUUAAGAGUAAUGCGGCAACGCAGGAACUGAAAUCAUUAGACCGUUUCUGAUACCAGUAGUGAAGUAUGUUGUUUAAUUCGAUGAUCCGCGAAAAAUCUUACCACAAUUUGAAUAUUAUAGCAACUAUAGGAAAGUCUUUUAAUUAUAUUAAUUUGAUGUAACUGCUAUUAAUACAGGUGUUGCAUGGCUGUUUUUAGUUGGUGUCGUGAGAUGUAGGUUAAAACCUAUGUAAUCAACGUGAACCCUUGCUCUAUUUUAUAAAUUAAUACAUGGAGUCGAUUGUUUGAUACGUCGAACAAAUAACAGGGAUCAAUACAAGUCCUCAUGGCCC